GCCGAGGUCUCCUAGUCUGGAAGGGAGCAGAAGUUUGCUCAAGCCUGGAGAGCCUGUGCCCAUAAUGGGCUCGGGGGUUCAAAUCCCCCCCUCGGCGCCA
This 100-nucleotide transfer RNA is filed under the name Candidatus Methanomethylicus sp. RNAcentral's name for it is "tRNA-Ser". It matches the Rfam family "tRNA". Rfam says of the family: Transfer RNA (tRNA) molecules are approximately 80 nucleotides in length. Lineage: Archaea; Thermoproteati; Thermoproteota; Methanosuratincolia; Candidatus Methanomethylicales; Candidatus Methanomethylicaceae. The record is from RNAcentral.